GAUGAACGCUGGCGGCGUGCCUAAUACAUGCAAGUCGAGCGAACAGACGAGGCGCUUGCUCCUCUCACGAUAGCGGCGGACGGGUGAGUAACACGUGUAUACCCUACUUAUAAUACUGGGAUAACUUCGGGAAACCGGAGCUAAUACCGGAUAAUCUAUUGAACCGCAUGGUUCAAUAGUGAAAGACGGUUUUGCUGGCACUUCUAGAUGGAUCCGCGCCGCAUUGGCUAGUUGGUAAGGUAACGGCUUACCAAGGCAACGAUGCGUAGCCGACCUGAGAGGGUGGUCGGCGACACGGGAGCGGAGACGCGGACCAGACUCCUGCGGGAGGCAGCAGAAGGGUAUCUUCGGCAGUAGGCGAAAGCUUGGCGGAACAACGCCGCGUGAGUGGUAGAGGUCUUCGGAGCGGAAUACUCGGUUAUGAGGGGAAAACAAAUGUGUAAGUAACUAUGCCCGUCUUGACGGUACCUGGUCAGAAAGCCACGGCUAACUACGUG
RNAcentral lists this ribosomal RNA (497 nucleotides) under uncultured bacterium. RNAcentral's name for it is "partial 16S ribosomal RNA". It matches the Rfam family "Bacterial small subunit ribosomal RNA", at positions 28 to 507 of the family's 1533-position model. The record is from RNAcentral.